CAGAUCUCCUCAUCACCUCUGGGACAUAGAUAGACGAUAUGAGUAUGUCAGCAAGAAUGUUACCAUUGGCUGUGAAAAUGUGUCCAGGGAAAUAAAAAUUAGGAGACAUUUUAGAAGCGACAUGGCAACUUAUCUUUAUCUUCUAAACCAAGGAUCUACUUAUCUUUUUGAAUACAGGAAAAAUUCAACUAAGAUUGCCCUCUCUGAACUAUCCUUCAUCAUUGGUAACAGAAUUGACAGAAUGUGUUCUUUAAAACCAGAAUUGAUUAUGUCAUUCCUCAGGUUAGCUUUCUUCAGGCACUCUUCAUACUUUUCAGAUUUCCACAGGGAGCAUAGCUGAUAUUACUGGCUCAGAGCCUCAUGUGUUUUGGGCUUCACAUUUCAUGAAACUACUGCUGUCAAUUUCCAUUGAAUCCUUUCAUAUUAGAACUGAAGUUGCCUCUGCUUAGCUCUAGUCUUCUUUGAGGUAAAAUUUGAGGGUCUUUGGUCACUUGUGAUGGACUAGAGAAGAGGAGAAAGAGCUAAAAGGAAAAUUACUAUGAUAUGGCCUAUCUAGCACUACGGAUGAGGACCAACCAGGAAGUAACACGCUUUGAUAAAUGUGUAAUGAAAAAAUUUACUCGCAGAGGAAACAAGGCUGGAGGUGGCUGGGAGCCAAGAACAUCUGUGUUCCUGGUAUCCCAAAUGUGUGGAAGCAGCAGAUGUAACUGAAUAUAUAAUAGAAACCCUGGCACAAUUCCUAAUAAAGUGGAAAAGACCUCUGGAUAUUAGAGAAAGCUU
Long non-coding RNA from Hyaena hyaena (striped hyena), 780 nucleotides. RefSeq lists it as uncharacterized. The record is from RefSeq and is a predicted model, not a curated record. NCBI's taxonomy places the organism in Eukaryota, Metazoa, Chordata, Mammalia, Carnivora, Hyaenidae. The transcript is spliced from 4 exons.